This 429-nucleotide ribosomal RNA is filed under the name Chloroflexota bacterium. RNAcentral's name for it is "Chloroflexi bacterium partial 16S ribosomal RNA". It matches the Rfam family "Bacterial small subunit ribosomal RNA", at positions 355 to 776 of the family's 1533-position model. Lineage: Bacteria; Bacillati; Chloroflexota. The record is from RNAcentral.
UGGGGAAUAUUGCACAAUGGGCGCAAGCCUGAUGCAGCCAUGCCGCGUGUAUGAAGAAGGCCUUCGGGUUGUAAAGUACUUUCAGUCGGGAGGAAGGUGGUAAGGUUAAUAACCUUGGCAAUUGACGUUACCGACAGAAGAAGCACCGGCUAACUCCGUGCCAGCAGCCGCGGUAAUACGGAGGGUGCAAGCGUUAAUCGGAAUUACUGGGCGUAAAGCGCACGCAGGCGGUUUGUUAAGUCAGAUGUGAAAUCCCCGGGCUCAACCUGGGAACUGAAUCUGAUACUGGCAAGCGUGAGUCUCGUAGAGGGGGGUAGAAUUCCAGGUGUAGCGGUGAAAUGCGUAGAGAUCUGGAGGAAUACCGGUGGCGAAGGCGGCCCCCUGGACGAAGACUGACGCUCAGGUGCGAAAGCGUGGGGAGCAAACAGG